CCCGUCCCGCGCCGUGGGAGGCGCCCUGGGGGAAGUGCCCGAACACUGGGUCAGACCCCGGAGGGGCGCGGAAUCUUGGGCGCGGAGGAGACUUCUCCAGGUAGAGGCAGCAGCUGGAACGUGAGAGCAGCCUUGUAGGCCUCUCCACCAGAUUGUAAGAUGCUGGAGGGAAGGAGGCAGAGUCUCCAGCUCGGGGACUGGGUAGAAGCUUCACGCAUUUGUUGGACAGGAAAUGGCCUUUGGUGUCUGCGGCUCCGUCUGGCCGAGGAUGGAGUUUUGGACCAUGCAAAGAGAAGAAUCUGGCUGCCCAGGUUGGGCCACUUUGGAGGCUCUGGACUCUGCUGAGGGAUGCCAAGAGGCAGAGAAGAGAACUCAGGUGCCCUGUUCACCCUGUAGCAGCCACCAUCACCCCUAAGGUCUCUGCACUAAGGAACCCCUCUCUGCAGCUCUAGGGCCUUGGAUGGUUGGAAUGUUUGGAAUUCUCUUUGUCAAUGGUGCAAGUCUUCCAAGAGGAAUAAAAUUUCUAUGUAAUUAUA
Non-coding RNA from Vicugna pacos (alpaca), 536 nucleotides. NCBI's taxonomy places the organism in Eukaryota, Metazoa, Chordata, Mammalia, Artiodactyla, Camelidae. The record is from RefSeq and is a predicted model, not a curated record.